CAGCAGCCGCCGCGGGAAUGCGUAGGUGGCAAGCGUUGUCCGGAAUCAUUGGGCGUACAGGGCUCGCAGGCGGUUUCUUAAGUCUGAUGUGAAAGCCCCCGGCUCAACCGGGGAGGGUCAUUGGAAACUGGGAAACUUGAGUGCAGAAGAGGAGAGUGGAAUUCCACGUGUAGCGGUGAAAUGCGUAGAGAUGUGGAGGAACACCGGUGGCGAAGGCGACUCUCUGGUCUGUAACUGACGCUGAGGAGCGAAAGCGUGGGGAGCGAACAGGAUUAGAUACCCGGGUAGUCCCUGUCUCUUAUAC
This 304-nucleotide ribosomal RNA is filed under the name uncultured bacterium. RNAcentral describes it as "partial 16S ribosomal RNA". It matches the Rfam family "Bacterial small subunit ribosomal RNA", at positions 506 to 807 of the family's 1533-position model. The record is from RNAcentral.